Long non-coding RNA from Ictalurus punctatus (channel catfish), 1161 nucleotides. The record is from Ensembl. NCBI's taxonomy places the organism in Eukaryota, Metazoa, Chordata, Actinopteri, Siluriformes, Ictaluridae.
GUAAAUACUUUGCUGGGACUGCGUCUGGACUGCAGUAUGCCAGAGGACAACCGUUUGGUUUUAAUUUAUUUAGAAUACUUCUAUGCAAAAAAGAUCUAUUAUUGAAUAAACAGAAGUAACCAAUAAUCAUUAUUUAAAGGGCAAUGUACAGCGGAGUAACAGUCAUCCUCACUAGCUGUUAAUUGUUAUUCAUAUAUUGGCAUUUAUUGGAAAUUUUUUUACACACAUACUUUUUCAGUUACAUUAAAUUUUCACACAUUCACUUCCAGUGUGCUUACUGUAGAUGGUAGAGGUGUAAGGAUACACUCCGGUCAUGAUUUGAUUCGCUCAUGAUACUGGCUUCAUAAUUCGAUCCAAUUUGAUACUCAGAACAAAAUCUGAAUCAAGAAAAAAUGUCUGAAUAGGUUUAAUAUUGUAAACAAAAUGUACUACACGUCCAACAUAUCUUAAAAUUAAAUAAAAAAAAAACUGAUUGAAUAAUCUCUGACCAGGGUAAAAUGAUGGUUUGAAACAUAAUGAGAGCUCCAAAGUCGGCUAAAGUGGUCGAGUUCUGCGGCCUGUAGAUUACAGAGGCACAGGGCUGGUGUAAUUUGAAACCUACCAAAGAGCUCAUUUUAGCUGUUACAAUGUGGUUGUGUAACAUGUUAUAUUAUAACACGCGCCGUAUGUUAUGUUUUAACGAGUCAUCGGCCCCAGCGUACACUCAUCAUAUUAUAAUCCUAUAUAAGGGUUGUGCAAAUUGGGACCUCUGGUGUUCAAAUAGUGCAGUUGCGUUAGAUGCAUAAUUAAUUAAAUGCUGAUUCCCACGAUCAGUACAUCGUCAAUGUUUUGCAUUUCGAUGCAUCGUGUCACGAUGUAUUGUCACACCCCUCAGAGGCAUACAAAUUUCAAUUUGUGAACGUGCAUAAAAAGCUAACACUGAAAGGAAAUUCAGAAGGAAAAAUGCAAGCUUGACAAAUGCAGCAUGAAAUACAGUAGCAUCAUUUAAGAUGUGAGGCUGGAUGAAGCAAGCAUAUUAGGUGCUACACUUUCUCUAUUGUUUAUUUUAUUCGAUUUUUUUUUCUCCAUUGCAAUCACUGUAGAGCCAACACCAGAAUGCAAAGUGUUUGAUAUACCAGCAUCACCUUGCACAAAAUCUACAAAUAAAAACCUGCUACUGGA